Molecule: small nucleolar RNA, 144 nt
Organism: Psammomys obesus (fat sand rat)
Lineage: Eukaryota; Metazoa; Chordata; Mammalia; Rodentia; Muridae
Product: small nucleolar RNA SNORA48
Exons: 1
Source: RefSeq, a predicted model, not a curated record
AGCCCCUGGCAAUGGGCGAAGAGACACCUUGUUGGUGGUGGUGUUCUUAUAUCAGUCAAGGGCAGAGCAGAUGGCAGUCCUGUGUUCAUCCUAGCUUGAUGCCUGGCUUGGUGGUCAAAGCUGUCUCAUGCCCAGGACACAAAA